RNAcentral lists this ribosomal RNA (254 nucleotides) under uncultured bacterium. RNAcentral's name for it is "partial 16S ribosomal RNA". It matches the Rfam family "Bacterial small subunit ribosomal RNA", at positions 524 to 776 of the family's 1533-position model. The record is from RNAcentral.
UACGUAGGGUGCGAGCGUUGUCCGGAAUUACUGGGCGUAAAGGGCUCGUAGGCGGCCAACUAAGUCAGACGUGAAAUCCCUCGGCUUAACCGGGGAACUGCGUCUGAUACUGGAUGGCUUGAAUCCGGGAGAGGGAUGCGGAAUUCCAGGUGUAGCGGUGAAAUGCGUAGAUAUCUGGAGGAACACCGGUGGCGAAGGCGACAUCCUGGACCGGUAUUGACGCUGAGUGAGCGAAAGCCAGGGGAGCAAACGGG